Molecule: ribosomal RNA, 798 nt
Filed under: uncultured Pelagibacteraceae bacterium
Lineage: Bacteria; Pseudomonadati; Pseudomonadota; Alphaproteobacteria; Candidatus Pelagibacterales; Candidatus Pelagibacteraceae
Description: bacterial SSU rRNA
Rfam family: Bacterial small subunit ribosomal RNA
Source: RNAcentral
CGCUGGCGGCACGCCUAACACAUGCAAGUCGAACGCAGUAGCAAUACUGAGUGGCAAACGGGUGAGUAUAAUGUGGGAAUCUGCCUUUUGGUUUGGAAUAACACGGGGAAACUUGUGCUAAUACCGAAUAAGCCCUUACGGGGAAAGUUUUAAUGCCGAAAGAUGAGCCCGCACUUGAUUAGCUAGUUGGUAAGGUAAAAGCUUACCAAGGCAACGAUCAAUAGCUGUUCUUAGAGGAAGACCAGCCACAUUGGGACUGAGACACGGCCCAGACUCCUACGGGAGGCAGCAGUGGGGAAUCUUGCACAAUGGGGGAAACCCUGAUGCAGCGAUGCCGCGUGAGUGAAGAAGGCCCUUGGGUUGUAAAACUCUUUCGUCGGGGAAGAAAAUGACUGUACCCGAAUAAGAAGGUCCGGCUAACUUCGUGCCAGCAGCCGCGGUAAUACGAAGGGACCUAGCGUAGUUCGGAAUUACUGGGCUUAAAGAGCUCGUAGGUGGUUAAAAAAGUUGAUGGUGAAAUCCCAAGGCUCAACCUUGGAACUGCCAUCAAAACUUUUUAGCUAGAGUGUGAUAGAGGUAAGUGGAAUUUCUAGUGUAGAGGUGAAAUUCGUAGAUAUUAGAAAGAACACCAAAAGCGAAGGCAACUUACUGGGUCACUACUGACACUGAGGAGCGAAAGCAUGGGUAGCGAAGAGGAUUAGAUACCCUCGUAGUCCAUGCCGUAAACGAUGUGUGCUAGACGUUGGAAAUAUAUUUUUCAGUGUCGCAGCGAAAGCAUUAAGCACACCGCCUGGGGAG